AUGGUAGGGGACACCUACCCGCACUGAUGGCCUCAUUCUGGUGGAAAGGCGACACGGACACCUUGGGUGUCAUCCGUCAGCUCAUUGCUAAGAUCAUUCUGUCACUUGGGCUUUAUUUGCCUGCACGCCAGCCGCCGCCUGCCUGCCUGCCUGCCUGCCUGCCUCCCUCCCUCCCUCCCUCCUCUGCUUCCUCUCUCUCUCUCUCUUUCUCCCUCUCCACCAAGAAGAAACAGCUUGGAGUAUUCUGCAGUUCAAACAUUAAGAUUGAUGGGCUGAAUUCCAUCCAGGGGAAACCUUGGCUGAGUUGCCGAAAAAAACAGUUUGCACACUUGGACCAAAUGCGUUUAGUCCUGCUUUUGCCUACGCAGCAGCUGUGCCUCCAUAUUUCCACACAGUGAGAGCUAUCAGAAUUGCUGAUCGCCCAGGCUCAGCGAUUGCAGGAAGGGUCCUCAGCGCCGGUUCCCCUGCUGGCUUUCUGGAAAUUAAAAGGCUAUUGAUGUUGCAGCAACAGGAAGAACAAGGGAACGAAAAGGGAGCAAAGGCAGCUGAAGAGAUGAGAGGCAAAGACUUGGUUUGAAGCUCACAAUGACUUCAGUGAGGAAUGAAAGACGUCUCCUGGUGUUCUCUCGUAAGAUCCAGUUAUGGAAGCCAGUGUAACAUUGAGGCUAGACUAAAAGUCACAACCUCUCAGCCUAAUGUGUUGUUGAGGGGAUAAAAUGGAACCAAGGCGGAUCAUGGCGUAAACUGCAAUGUGCUCUUCAGAGGAAAGGUGAGACAUAAAUGCCAUAAAUACAUAAAGAAGUGGACAAAGGGGCCAUAGGCACUGGGGUAACGUGGCUACUUUCAACUGAGGAAAUUGCUGGGAUCAAGGCUUUUCUAUUGAAUCUGUUUGGGAGAUCCAGACUAACCAACAGAGCUGCCGUGACUUGGGGCAGCGCAGCGGCAGCGUCCAUUGGGCCAGCAGUCGGCCUCUGAAGCAGAAAAUCCCCCAUGGAAGCCGCUUGCCAGUAAAUCUCAGGAAACAUUCUGGGGGCAGAUUUCUCACCUGUACAGUUCCGCUGCUGCCAUCUAGAGAGACAAUAGCACCAGGAGUGACCUACCUUGGCUAUUUUCUGCCUUCCAUGAUUAAGCCCCAGACCGAUAAUGGCCAGCUCCCAUGUUUGGCACACAGUUAUAAUACAUUUAAUCCAAAGGGGAAAAAAUUAUAGAUUAACAUUAUCUACAUAUCGACUACCUCCUUCUUGGAAAGUUUCUUCUAGAUUUCAUACUUCCUGCCCCUCCUAUUUUUAAAAUUCUUUUCUUCUACUGAUCUGUCUUUUAUCCUCUUCACUCUUCAAAUACAGCAAUAACAAGUCCACUUUCCAAUUAUUGUGGAAAGUCAAUAAAGGGUUUCUAGUUUCAUAAAACUUAUCA
RNAcentral lists this long non-coding RNA (1413 nucleotides) under Salvator merianae (Argentine black and white tegu). RNAcentral's name for it is "lncRNA (ENSSMRG00000002804.1)". Lineage: Eukaryota; Metazoa; Chordata; Lepidosauria; Squamata; Teiidae. The record is from RNAcentral.